GUGUGAAUCCCCACUUAACAAGUUUUGAUUUCAAAGCAUGCUUCGCAGCAACCAUAGAUAGCCUUUGUCCUCCCCCUCUUCUCUCUCCAAAGGCUCCAGAAGCCCUUCUCUUCCUCCAAGACCAAACAAAGCGGCAACUCAUUCUCAAGCACUAGCAGCGGAUGAUUUGAAGAAAAGCAUGCUGUGCACUUUAAAUUGGAAAUCAAUGCAACUAUUAACUAAUAAUAAUAAAUAUAUGAAAAUCAACGAAUUUCCUUACUUCAAAUGUCCUUGAGCAACUACAUCUGCUUAUACUGGUCUGCCUUAGCUAUGUCAUUUAAAAUUUCCCCCUUUUUUAAUUCAACAUUUUCGUUCCACUGCUUGAUCUCGUAAUUAAGUUCCUAAAGCUAUUUGCAUGAUGCACUUUCAUUCUCUCCAAUGCUCCCUCCAACACCCUCCUGCAUUUAGGUUUGCUUGAAUCAAAAAACUUUUAUUUUCCAAGUCAUCAAAGUUUAUACAGAGAAGCCCAAUACCAAAAUUGAUAAACCAUAAAAUAAAAUUUCAGGCAUGAUCCAUGAUAAUACAUAAUGAAAAUUCUUGAAUAUUUAAACCAUGAACAGAGACAUUCCGAAGAAACUUAUGCUGACAUGAACUCACUCUACAUGUAUUUAGUAAAGUUGUAAAGCAUAAGCCAAGUACUUUCACAUACGAACCUUAUGAAUAGCGUACAAGAGCUAGGGAGUAGAAUAUUUGAAAGUGAGCACAUAAAGACAUCGGACUGAAAUAAUCCAUGAAUACACUUCUUUGAAUUGGAAAAGGAAAGACAGACAGCUCUUCAACUUAACCUGGCAAGAUGGCAUAGAUGGUCUCUUCAAUGCUGGUAAUUAACCGAGUUUGGAAAGAAAUUUAUAAGUGAAUAGUACAAAUUUUAGAACUUUAGUAUGGUCAAUCCGGUGCUAGUAUUAAUAGAGUAUCUUCCUCUCAACAAUUUGACGUGGUCACUGGAGGGUUUAGCCUUGUAUUAGCUUAGGCUGAUAACUGUGCAAAUAGGGCAUAUCUUGUCUAGGCNNNNNNNNNNNNNNNNNNNNNNNNNNNNNNNNNNNNNNNNNNNNNNNNNNNNNNNNNNNNNNNNNNNNNNNNNNNNNNNNNNNNNNNNNNNNNNNNNNNNNNNNNNNNNNNNNNNNNNNNNNNNNNNNNNNNNNNNNNNNAUCAAUAAUGCAACCCCUUCCACCUAUAACUAAACCAACUUUAUGCAAGUUGGUUCCUGGAACUAUAACAAGGAUCGGAUGCACUAUUAUCGAUUCCAGCGAUCUACUGCAAGAGGAUAUUCAAGAAUCCCCACUUUUGUAGAAGAAACGAUUUCAGCUAUUCCAAGAUCUGAUUUAAAGGAAAUAUCAGCAUAAAAAUUGUGAUUCUUAAUAACUUUCUUGUUUUCCUCUUUUUCUUCCUUUGCGAAUAAUGUGAAGAUCCCUAGUUAAUAACAGAAAAGUGUAAAAGAAAAGGAGAUGAAGAAAAAAUUAAUAAGUUAAACACACAUCACCACCUCUUCUCCUUCUCUUCCCCUUGGCCCGCAAGGAGUUUCUUGGACGCGUUCUUCGCAGUCCUUCGUACUUGCUUUCUAUCCUCGCCUCCCUCUCGCUCACUUCUUCUCCUCCGCCACCGCCAUCAUCGCCCUCAGAUCGAUCCCCGAUCGAUCGAAAUCCACCACCGAAACACCAGAAAGAACCCCAGCCAGCGAGAAGUCGUCGCCGGAGAGCGAGGGUUCCGGAGUACCGAUCGAUGACGGCGGGGUGCACGGUGCAUCGCGUCGGCAAUAAACCCUAGUUUCUGUGAGAGCCGGAGCGAGCGGAGAUCAGGCCGGAGAGCGGACGGAGACGGUGGUGAAGUGAGAAUAAAGAAAAGCGGGAAUUCGGGUUAAGCAUAAAGCAUGAACGCGCGUGGACAAAAGUUCUCUAAAUCUUGGCCCAGGGACAGGCCCAGGCCAGCCCAUCAUAGUACCCAACAAUUAUCCAACCCAUUAUAGUACGCAAGAUUGCAGUGUGGGACGUGAAUUCAUAGGAAUCCAGAAGCAAGCCCAAAAAUAGGAUUCGGCGUGUAUCUUUGUUUAUGUGAUGACAGAAUUUGAAUGGUGGUAAAGUAUAUUUCGAUUUGGCAAUUCCCAAUCCCUGCUAACCAAACCUACUUCAAAUAGAGGCUGAGGCCAAAUUCAAAUGGUAAUGCUACAAGGUGAAAGAAGAAAAAUGGAAAUAAGGAAGUGGAGGAGGUGAAGGAAGUUAGCAGCCAUGGUUGGAUUUGUGGCAAACCUAUGGCCUGUUGGGUUACCUUUGCAUGCCUGCGUUUGGCCAUGAUCUGUUAUGGCCUCCUAGUUUGAGGCCUUAUUUGGGGGAGCUGUUGGCAGUAGAGCUGUUGGAAGUAGAGCUGUCUGAAGUAGAGCUGUUAUAAAAAGCUGUUUGUUGUUUGGUAACUAUAUUUUUAAAGUGCUGUGGUACUUUAAUAUAUGUUUGGUAAACAAACUGAGAAAGUACUUUUAUAUGACAAAAUUACCAUAAAGGACAUUGCAUAGUAUUAUACAAUAGAGCAUGAUAAAACAUAACAUAUAUUAAUNNNNNNNNNNNNNNNNNNNNNNNNNNNNNNNNNNNNNNNNNNNNNNNNNNNNNNNNNNNNNNNNNNNNNNNNNNNNNNNNNNNNNNNNNNNNNNNNNNNNNNNNNNNNNNNNNNNNNNNNNNNNNNNNNNNNNNNNNNNNGACCAGUAUCGGUUGGUUCAGCAAACCAUGGUUACCAACAUGAUUCACUCCUUCGAAAUGGCUUAUAAAUGGUGUUUUUCCCUCAUUCGAAGCACUCAUUCCCGUCAAAGCCGUCGUCCCCGUUCGAAGUCCUUGUCUCCUUCAAUGGAUCCAGUUAAUCUCUCCUUCUCUCCCUCUCCCCCCUCUCUCUUGGGGUUCCCACCACCAGAUCCGAAGCUCUCAAAGCUCCCUAUCAAUGGAUCUAGUGAGUCUCUCUCCCUUCUCUCAAAGUUCUCGUCGCCAGAUCCGGAGCUCUCGAAGCUCUUUGUCGAUGGGGCCUUGACCUCUCUCUCCCUCCCUCCCUUCAUCUCUUUUCUCUCCCCCCCUCUCCCUCUCCCUCCCUGUCUUCUCGAAGUUCUCCAUUGAUGAGGCCUCUCUCCUUCCUCUCCCCCUUCUCCCUCUCCCUCUCCCCCUCCCUCUCCCCCUCCCUCUCCUUGUUUCCAUACACUCAGGAACAGUAUGAUAUAGACCCAUACUAUACUGAACCAAACCAAUCGCUAAUCGGUAUGACUCUCGACACCGAUCCUCGACACCGAUCCAGCAGACCUUUGCUUUGAAAUUUCUAACAGUAACAAUCACUACUUAGUCUACUCAAAUUAAGACCAAAUCUUGGACAAGGCUCAAAAGUAGCCUAGAAAACUUUGACAACUAAUCUGUCACAAAUAAUAAGCAGAAUAGAAACAUUAUGUCAUUUGGUGAUUGAAGACCAAUAAUUAACAAAAAAAGAAAAUGCUAAUGAAACAAUAUAAUAUGUCUUGUAAUGGAAAGUAUAAUUUCUUUGAAUAUUUACUAAUAUAAUAUAAUGGUUCUUUUGAUUGCAUCCUCUAUAUGUUCUGAAUCAAUUAUGCAACAAGAAAGCUUAACAUUUCGCAUGGUGAUCAUACAAGGAAGUUCCAAAUAAUUAUAGAGAUAAAGGGCAGGUGGACACAUUGUACAGCAUGUGGACUUGUUCAUGUUUUAGCUUAUUUUCCUCGAAAGGCGAUAAAAUAAUGAAAGUAAACAGCACAAACUUGUAAGGUGCUAUUAAUGAACACAAUUUUUUGGACUAGAAGAUGCAAUGCUGGGAUUCUUAUUUCUUGACAAUUAUACCACCUCUCAUUGUUUUUAUCUCCUUUAUUUUAGAAAUCAAGGUUUUAAAGGAUCAGGACCACGCCAAUCCUUAGUUGGCAUGGCAUCCAUUGUGCCAUAUACUGUACCAACACAACAUACUAACUAGUAAAGAUCCAGCUAAAGUGAGCAAGAAAAGAUAAACCAAGGGUACAAUCAAGGUUCGCCAUCUUGGUACCAUACCCCGUACCGAUGCCACACAAGCAUAGUGUUGCUACGAUAUAGUACGAAAUUUUUUUGGCGUAUCGAGUAUCGGUACACCACCCAUACCGAGUACCGAUACCAAACCGAUACAGUACGUCUCGUUCCAUCCAAUUUGGAAUAGUAUGGCGUACCAUGGGUAUAGUAUUGAGUGGAUAGGAUGGUACGAGGUCAAUAUGGCAUCUUGGGGCCAACCAAGUAUAACUAAACCAAUUUGCUAGUCUCCAUGUACUAUUAUAACUAAACCAACUUUCUAGAUUAUUUAUGCAAUCAUGCGAAGACAGCCUCCAUGGAUUAGGUAACACAUGCUGGUGGCUUGCCAACUUGGCACCAACAAGUUAUGCACCAUGCCGUGCCUUCCGAAUGUUUGGCUUGAUUGCAUGUCACGCACUCAAAUGCAACUAGUACCAUGUCAAUGUUGCUCACCAAAAAGCCACUGCAUGGUAUAUAUCAUACGUUGUCAAUUAACACUUUAAUCCAUAUCAACCACUAGCAGCUACUUCAUGACUACUCUUUUGCUCAAUGGUGUGACACAAUUAUUUUCAGAGUUCUGCGUCGCAAUCAAGGGCCAUUAAAGGGACCAUUAGAGUUCGCCCAACUAAUAUCAUCUCUGAGCAGAAGAGUACGAUUUUUUUGGGAAACCAUGAACAAUUUCAAGUCCCAAGUGAAUCAUCUUCCCAAGUUUAAGCCACUACAAUUAUCUAACUUACUAUGACCAUCUUUGCAUGGAGAUUUCCUUGUAUGAGCUAUUUUUGGAGGAGAGUUUUCUUGAUGGUAAUGCCACACACACCAUGUUCUUCUACCAAAGACAUGUCGUGGCUUCUUGCUCAACUUUAUGACAUUUGGCCGCCAUUCUUUAGCGCUUCUUAUUUAGGCAUGACUAAGGAAUGAAUUAUAUGCUUUUGGUGCUCCUUCAUUGUUACUAAAUAGAAGGUUCUAGCUAGACCAUCCAGUGACCACGUCAAAUUGUACCAAUGUUGGUUAGUGUCAAAAUAUAUGCAUCUAUAUUGACUAGAGAAAUCAUAUUGGCAUUAUGAAUGCUGCAUUCUCAUGUUCUCCUAAAUAAGAAUAUAUUAAUGUUGAAAAUUCAUAAGCAAUUAUUUAAUAUUUUACGAGUUAAUUACUCCAUCUCUACUUUCUGUAUCAAUUUUAUCCCUUUCAAAUUUAACCUAUUUGAACAAGGUUAAAAUGCAGAAUAUCUCCAGAAACUCUUCAUUAACAAAAAAAAAUGGAGGAAAAAAACUAGACCAUAUAACCAUCUUUCGCACCAAUAGUCACAAAUUGAAGUCUACGAGUUAUUAACAAUCAAAACCUAACAUCUACAGAUUUAUUUAAUAUCCAAAACUCGCAUUACAACUUAGCCUCGAAACCAAAUAAAGUCUCAAAUAGUAAACUUCUCCAACCCUUGAACCUAACACCAGCCUCAUUCCUCAAUGGCUUGUCUCUAUAGUACUUAGCUAUAAUCGAAUGUAUAAGAAGCCAUCAUCUACCUCCCCUGAUCUCCAAGUCUUUCAUUUAAUCAACUCCAAGUUCCAUCUUCUACUUCAAUAGAUUAACGCAAUUUACUGUGUGAAUCCCCACUUAACAAGUUUUGAUUUCAAAGCAUGCUUCGCAGCAACCAUAGAUAGCCUUUGUCCUCCCCCUCUUCUCUCUCCAAAGGCUCCAGAAGCCCUUCUCUUCCUCCAAGACCAAACAAAGCGGCAACUCAUUCUCAAGCACUAGCAGCGGAUGAUUUGAAGAAAAGCAUGCUGUGCACUUUAAAUUGGAAAUCAAUGCAACUAUUAACUAAUAAUAAUAAAUAUAUGAAAAUCAACGAAUUUCCUUACUUCAAAUGUCCUUGAGCAACUACAUCUGCUUAUACUGGUCUGCCUUAGCUAUGUCAUUUAAAAUUUCCCCCUUUUUUAAUUCAACAUUUUCGUUCCACUGCUUGAUCUCGUAAUUAAGUUCCUAAAGCUAUUUGCAUGAUGCACUUUCAUUCUCUCCAAUGCUCCCUCCAACACCCUCCUGCAUUUAGGUUUGCUUGAAUCAAAAAACUUUUAUUUUCCAAGUCAUCAAAGUUUAUACAGAGAAGCCCAAUACCAAAAUUGAUAAACCAUAAAAUAAAAUUUCAGGCAUGAUCCAUGAUAAUACAUAAUGAAAAUUCUUGAAUAUUUAAACCAUGAACAGAGACAUUCCGAAGAAACUUAUGCUGACAUG
Molecule: long non-coding RNA, 6266 nt
Filed under: Phoenix dactylifera (date palm)
Lineage: Eukaryota; Viridiplantae; Streptophyta; Magnoliopsida; Arecales; Arecaceae
Description: long non-coding RNA (PDAC_LNC006674)
Source: RNAcentral